GAGGAGGAGUGGUGAGAUACGCCUUUAGCUCAUGGAGAACGGAUUCACAUUCUUCCGUCCAGUGGAAGUCCUUUGGAUUUUUUAGGGUUCCGAAGAAGGCAUGAGAUUUGUGGGAGAGUCUGGAGAUGAACCUACUCAGGGCCGCCAUUCUUCCUGUUCGCUUUUAGACCUCCUUGACGUUCUUCGAGGAAGGGAUUGAAUGAAUGGCCCUGA
RNAcentral lists this long non-coding RNA (213 nucleotides) under Brassica napus (rape). RNAcentral's name for it is "long non-coding RNA (BNAP_LNC022191)". The record is from RNAcentral. Lineage: Eukaryota; Viridiplantae; Streptophyta; Magnoliopsida; Brassicales; Brassicaceae.